RNAcentral lists this non-coding RNA (160 nucleotides) under Aureoumbra lagunensis. The record is from RNAcentral. Lineage: Eukaryota; Pelagophyceae; Sarcinochrysidales; Sarcinochrysidaceae.
CAAUUCCUCCAUCAAAAACGCCAACAGCACAACCUUCAAUUAAACCAACAUCCUUUCCCUCGGCGCUACCAACAAUUUCACAUAUACCAACAGCAGGACCUACAUUCAUCCCAACUGCAACACCAACUGCAACUCCAGUACCAAGUGUAAUACCUACAUU